Molecule: ribosomal RNA, 484 nt
Filed under: uncultured bacterium
Lineage: Bacteria
Description: partial 16S ribosomal RNA
Rfam family: Bacterial small subunit ribosomal RNA
Source: RNAcentral
AUUGAACGCUCGCGGCAGGCCUAACACAUGCAAGUCGAGCGGAUGAAGGGAGCUUGCUCCUGGAUUCAGCGGCGGACGGGUGAGUAAUGCCUAGGAAUCUGCCUGGUAGUGGGGGAUAACGUCCGGAAACGGGCGCUAAUACCGCAUACGUCCUGAGGGAGAAAGUGGGGGAUCUUCGGACCUUACGCUAUCAGAUGAGCCUAGGUCGGAUUAGCUAGUUGGUGGGGUAAAGGCCUACCAAGGCGACGAUCCGUAACUGGUCUGAGAGGAUGAUCAGUCACACUGGAACUGAGACACGGUCCAGACUCCUACGGGAGGCAGCAGUGGGGAAUAUUGGACAAUGGGCGAAAGCCUGAUCCAGCCAUGCCGCGUGUGUGAAGAAGGUCUUCGGAUUGUAAAGCACUUUAAGUUGGGAGGAAGGGCAGUAAGUUAAUACCUUGCUGUUUUGACGUUACCAACAGAAUAAGCACCGGCUAACUUCGUG